UACAAUGAAGAGUUUGAUCCUGGCUCAGGAUGAACGCUAGCGGCAGGCCUAAUACAUGCAAGUCGAACGGUAACAUUGGUGCUUGCACCAGAUGACGAGUGGCGCACGGGUGCGUAACGCGUAUGCAAUCUACCUUUUACUAGAGUAUAGCCCAGAGAAAUUUGGAUUAAUCCUCUAUAAUAUCUUUAAGUUUCAUGACUUUUAGAUUAAAGUUUUAACGGUAAAAGAUGAGCAUGCGUCCUAUUAGUUUGUAGGUGAGGUAACGGCUCACCUAGACUACGAUAGGUAGGGGCCCUGAGAGGGGGAUCCCCCACACUGGUACUGAGACACGGACCAGACUCCUACGGGAGGCAGCAGUG
This 359-nucleotide ribosomal RNA is filed under the name Flavobacteriales bacterium. RNAcentral describes it as "bacterial SSU rRNA". It matches the Rfam family "Bacterial small subunit ribosomal RNA", at positions 1 to 356 of the family's 1533-position model. The record is from RNAcentral. Lineage: Bacteria; Pseudomonadati; Bacteroidota; Flavobacteriia; Flavobacteriales.